RNAcentral lists this transfer RNA (77 nucleotides) under bacterium. RNAcentral describes it as "tRNA-Arg". It matches the Rfam family "tRNA". Rfam says of the family: Transfer RNA (tRNA) molecules are approximately 80 nucleotides in length. Their secondary structure includes four short double-helical elements and three loops (D, anti-codon, and T loops). RNAcentral also lists the same sequence under 2 other names. The record is from RNAcentral.
GCGCCCGUAGCUCAGUUGGAUAGAGUGCUUGGCUACGAACCAAGAGGUCGGGAGUUCGAAUCUCUCCGGGCGCGCCA